UGCCUCAUGCUGGAAUCGAACCAGCGACCUUCUGUUUACUAGACAGACGCUCUGCCCCUGAGCCAAUGAGGC
Molecule: transfer RNA, 72 nt
Filed under: Brugia pahangi
Lineage: Eukaryota; Metazoa; Nematoda; Chromadorea; Rhabditida; Onchocercidae
Also listed under: 7 other names
Description: tRNA-Thr
Source: RNAcentral